GGCGGAAAGCCGUGCGGAGGUUCCUCGGAAGCUGAGGACGAGGACCGCAUGAUCCGGCGGCUCCCCUCUGGGUAGAUGCCCAACAGAGCGGACGGCGGGGACGCCGCUUCCAUAGCAGUGGUUCCCAGCAGCCAGAGGACGGUGACGCCGCAGGUGCCGCAGACGAUGAACGGAUAAGCAGAUUGUGUCCAUCAGGCCACGAAUGUUAUUCAGCCUUGAAAAGGGGGGGCUCUGACCCGGGGGGACCUUGAGGACAUUCUGCCGAGUGGAAAAGCCUGGCCCAGAAGGACAAAUACCACGGGAAUCCACUUACAUGAAGUCCCUGGAGUGUCUGAUCCGCAGGGACAGAAGGCAGCAGGGUGGCCAGGGCUGGAGGGAGGGGCCCAGAGUGGCUGCGUGAGGGUGGGGCUCCUUCUGGAAGAUGAGGGUGCUGACAGCCCCCCCCCAACGGUGUGAGCAUGUGCCCUGGAGCGUCUCCUUAGAACGUUAAGUGUUAUGUAUACACACAUUCCCACAAUCAAAAAGCCUCGGAACCUGCCUUCUGGGGAAGGAUGACCUGACAGGAAGCAGUAGAGAGACCACGCGGAAGGGCGCUGGGACCCUCCAGCCAGGGCACCAUCUGAGCAGAUGGCAGCAGAGACAGGGCAUUGAGGUGGCCAGAAUGUGAGGUAAAAAUAGAACCUCUGCUUUUAGCAACGCUUUUCUCAAGUUGGAAGCACAGCACUUUUAUGCAAAAGGCAGCAUUUUCUUCUUGCCCCUCUUAAGAGGAGCCACCGGAGAAAGAAGAGCUCUUGGCUUCGUGUAACCCGGCUGAGCACAGGGGAGAGACGGAAACCACACUGGACUAGAUUCCCUACCUCUGGUUCCAGCCGUUCAAGUCCUGCCACACCUCCUAAACCUCUAAGCACGCGGACUUCAAACAUUUAUUUCCAGAACCCAUGUAACGAGAAACGUGCCUACAGAGAAAACCGGGAAACUGUGUGGGGACAACGGAUAGAAGACAGAAGGCGUUCGUUGGACGGCGAGGAAGUUGUCUGACAUCCAGGAAGCAGGCAGACGCCCGGUCAGGUGAGAAGAAGGAGAGCAGCGAAGAAGGGGGAGCCGUGUGCGUCCUCCCCAGGGAGAGGGAGCGCCACGCGCCCGGGCUGUCAGCCGCACCGGCCGCCCCCAAGGAUGAAGCCCCUGUCUCCACCGGUGCCCAGACAGCGUCCUAACUCCCGUGGGGACGCCUUUCAGAAGCGCCCUCAGCCCCAUAAGAAAAUACCGGCAAUUGUCAUUCUUUAAAGUCAUGGCCACACACGGGUCCAAAGAUGCCCACGUGCCAGCUGGACGCUGCUUACUCACCGUGCCUGAGUCUGUUUCUUAAAAGUCAGCAUGACUCUCACAGGAUACACUGCUAAGGUUAGGGUUUUUUUAGGUGGCCUUUAAAAGAGGGAGGAGGAAGGGAGGGAGGAAAUAUAUUUUGUGACCCGGGCUGUCUCGACUGAGAAGUGUGCAUCCUUUCAAAGGGUUUUCAGGUAUACUUUUGAGUAUGUUUCUUUAAAAUCUGUAAACAUGGCUUUAUUUUAUUUUUCUUGAAAAGUGGUAAUAUUUAAUUAAAUGUACCCUGGGAAAUUUCCCUAAUAUUNUUCCCUAAUUUUUUUUUUUUUUUUUUUUUUUUUUUUUCUUUGGUCUUCUUGGUCUCUUUAGUGGCAAAUGGUGGUUCCCAGGCUAGGGGUCUAAUCGAAGCCGCAGCUGCCACGCUACACCACAGCCACAGCAACACCAGCUCCUUAACCCCCUGUACAAGUCCAGGGAUCAAACCUGUGUCCUCAUGGAUACUGGUUGGGUUCAUUUCCACUGAGCCACAGCAGGAACUCCGCCUAAUUUUUCUUUUUAAAACAUGCUUCCUUUCCAGAUUUUAGUUCAACUGGACACCCCCCGCUCCCAGUAUUAUUUUUGGAGCUUUGUAGGUUUUCCUCAGCCAGAAGAAGAACGUUGUGUUACGGUGAAAAAGUAUGGGCAGCACUCUACAUAAAGGGAUGGAUUACACAUUUAUGUGGGCCCUUUCUUUAACUCGCACUGUAAAAUACAGCAAAAGCUUUUUGAAAGAUAUAAACUCACCAGUUUUCUUUUAAAGAGGGUAGGAAAGAAAAACAGCUACAUUUUAGAAGCUGCUUAAGCAGAGAAAUUUCCAUUUCCGGAAAUAAAGUUCAUCAGGGU
RNAcentral lists this long non-coding RNA (2202 nucleotides) under Sus scrofa (pig). Its description in RNAcentral is "lncRNA (ENSSSCG00065033715.1)". Lineage: Eukaryota; Metazoa; Chordata; Mammalia; Artiodactyla; Suidae. The record is from RNAcentral.